Molecule: ribosomal RNA, 662 nt
Filed under: uncultured bacterium
Lineage: Bacteria
Description: bacterial SSU rRNA
Rfam family: Bacterial small subunit ribosomal RNA
Source: RNAcentral
GAGUUUGAUCCUGGGUCAGAUUGAACGCUGGCGGCAUGCUUUACACAUGCAAGUCGAACGGCAGCAUGGGCUUCGGCCUGAUGGCGAGUGGCGAACGGGUGAGUAAUGCAUCGGAACGUGUCCCGUAGAGGGGGAUAACCAUCCGAAAGGAUGGCUAAUACCGCAUAUGCUCUAUGGAGGAAAGCAGGGGACCUUCGGGCCUUGUGCUAUGGGAGCGGCCGAUGUCGGAUUAGCUAGUUGGUAGGGUAAAGGCCUACCAAGGCGACGAUCCGUAGCUGGUCUGAGAGGAUGAUCAGCCACACUGGGACUGAGACACGGCCCAGACUCCUACGGGAGGCAGCAGUGGGGAAUUUUGGACAAUGGGGGCAACCCUGAUCCAGCCAUGCCGCGUGAGUGAAGAAGGCCUUCGGGUUGUAAAGCUCUUUUGUACGGGAAGAAGAAGUUAGGGUUAAUACCCCUUGACUGAUGACGGUACCGUAAGAAUAAGCACCGGCUAACUACGUGCCAGCAGCCGCGGUAAUACGUAGGGGUGCAAGCGUUAAUCGGAAUUACUGGGCGUAAAGCGUGCGCAGGCGGCUUGUUGUGUCUGCUGUGAAAUCCCCGGGCUUAACCUGGGAACUGCGGUGGAAACUGACAAGCUUGAGUGUAGCAGAGGGGGUGGA